Molecule: non-coding RNA, 2419 nt
Organism: Monodelphis domestica (gray short-tailed opossum)
Lineage: Eukaryota; Metazoa; Chordata; Mammalia; Didelphimorphia; Didelphidae
Source: the annotation of a RefSeq genome assembly
CUCUUCCCUUUUUGGGGGAUCUGAAAAGACAGUUGGAUUGGAGGGGAAGAGAGCCUCUGGAGACAACAGUUGAGAGACUCUUUGCUUGAUUCCUGUCUAAGCAAUAGCCGGGACUCAGUGCCCUCUUCUUCCUCCAAUUGCCAAUCCAAUUCUUAUCUCUAAUCCCUGGAUUUGGGUAAGGUCUCAAGGAACAUAUAUGGCAGGCAAUCUCUUGGAUUUGAAUGAGUCAGGGGGCUGAUUCAGAAGAGAUGGAGUCUGUGGAAAUAUGGUCCCAAAGACCCCACUCCAAUGAGGACCCCAUGUUUUAUGAUAUAAUAUAAUGAAAUAGGGAGCCUUGUCCUCCAUAAUGUUGAAGACCCUAAGAGUAACUGCCCUUGUUAAUGUUAAUUUGGCUUUAAAUACGCCCAACCAUAUGCACUUCACUGUCUUGCUGAUUCUGGAGAGUAUGAGGGGAAGAAGGCCCCUAGAGGAUGGAGAAGAAUUCUUGGCCUUUGAUUUUCUACUGUGCUACGGUGACGUUUAUUUUGGACCUGGAACCAGACUCACCGUUCUAGAUGACCUGGAAAGAGUGACUCCCCCAAAGGUAACUGUGUUUCAGCCAUCUGAGGAAGAGAUUGGGGAGAAAGGAAAGGCCACUCUGGUCUGUCUGGCCACAGGCUUCUACCCUGACCUUGUGGAGCUGAGCUGGUGGGUGAAUGGGCAGGAGACCAAAAUUGGGGUCAGCACAGACCCUGAGCCCUCCAAGGAGCAUCCCAAGGAAGAGCACUCCAGGUACUCCCUGAGCAGCCGCCUCCGGAUUUCUGCUCCCUUCUGGCGCAAUCCCAAGAACAACUUUCGUUGCCAAGUACAGUUCUAUGGCAUUGCAGAGAAUGAGACCUGGUCAAGUAACCGGAGCAAACCUGUCACCCAGAAUGUCAGUGACCAGAUCUGGGGAAAGGCAGAUUGUGGUAUUACCUCUGAGUCCUAUCAACACAGUAUCCAAUCUGCUACCUUCCUUUAUGAGAUCCUGCUGGGAAAGGCCGUGUUGUAUGGCCUGCUGGUCAGUGCCCUGGUGUGGAUAACCAUGGCCAAGAAGAAAAAUUCCUGAUGUCAGCUGUGGAUGUGAGAACAGAGAAGAGAGAACAGAAGGAUUCAGCACCCCAGCUUGGUUUCUACUUUCCCUAUUCUUAUUCUGUGUUCCAAAAGCUAUUAUUCCCAUAUUCUCUAUCCCCAUCUUUCACGGAUCUCUCCGCAGAGGAUACUCCAUUUCCAAGAGAAGUGCUUUGGUUUGAUCUCGAAGAAAUAAUUAAAAAAAAAAUAACCUGGCUUAGCAAUUACCAACUAUGUUUUUAUCUUUUUUCUCAUUGACUUAAUACGGAGUAUGCCUCUAAAUCAGGACAGAGUUCAAGAACGUAUUAGCAGAAGUAUAUUUUACAUGCUAAUACAAUUAUUUUUUUUUAAAUUAUUAGUAUAGUUAAGGGAAAACCCGCUUGGGCAAAUAAAGGAAUUAUCCCAUUAUAACAUUAGGAUUCCCUUUCUUCAAUUUCAAAAACCUGCAGUUGUCAAUUUCCCUUAUUUUUACAUAGGUAUUCCAGGGAUAGAGUUAAGCCGAUGAAUACUAACACAUUGCAAGUAUUUGGGGAAGAAAGCUGAGUAUAGAAGAAUCACAAUAUCCGAGUGAUUAAAGGGAUGUCUGAGAAGAAGGAAAGAAUAGAAAUGAGGUAUGAAGGAAAGAAUAGAACAGAGCUGAAGCCUGUUAUAGUUAAUUAGACGAAUUAAAUGAGAGGUGAGAAAGAAUUAAGAAAACAAGAGGAAAGGAAUGUCCAAAAAAAUUGGAAUAAAUCAGAACUGAGAGAUGGAUUAUAUGCAAGUCUGGGAUUAAUGUGAAGGGUUCAUCUGUUUUGAGUGUCACCUUGGGUAUUGAAUUAUUCUCUUUAUGUUCUGAAAUUUGAAAUUUUUAAGGAGAAAGAUUAGGAUAGGAUAGAUAGAUUUGAUGUUAAUCUGAAUAAAUAUGAUGAAUUAAUCUACCCCCAAAGGAAAUGAAAGUAUAAACUGAGAAAAGAUCCCAAAGGCAGAGCCCAAUCAUUAACCAAAAAAAAAAAUGAAUUUUGAAUAAUAACAUCAACUCUGAGAUUUUAUUCCACACUGAGAAAAUUCACAACAUGAUCAAAGAUGAAAAUAGUCAAUGUUGGAGAAUCUGGAGAAAAGUCAGGCAUAUUAAUAUAAUGUCCAGAUAAAUAUAAUACAAUGUCAAUAAAUUUGUAGUUUUUAUUUUAAAAAGCAACUAAAAUGUCUACAAUGUGUAAUGCAGAGAACCAAUUCCCAGAUCAGAGUCAUAAAUGUCCCAUAUGUGCCAAAAUAUUUGUAACAGCAUUUUCAUAAUACCAAGUAAACUAAAUUAAAUGCCCUUUGGUGGGUAAUAAGGACUUAAUUUGUGAUU